This 444-nucleotide ribosomal RNA is filed under the name uncultured bacterium. RNAcentral's name for it is "partial 16S ribosomal RNA". It matches the Rfam family "Bacterial small subunit ribosomal RNA", at positions 354 to 796 of the family's 1533-position model. The record is from RNAcentral.
GUAGGGAAUAUUGGGCAAUGGUCGGAAGACUGACCCAGCCAUGCCGCGUGCAGGAAGACGGCCCUCUGGGUUGUAAACUGCUUUUAUCUGGGAAGAAAAAGGCCAUGCGUGGCAAAUUGCCGGUACCAGAUGAAUAAGCACCGGCUAACUCCGUGCCAGCAGCCGCGGUAAUACGGAGGGUGCGAGCGUUGUCCGGAUUGAUUGGGUUUAAAGGGUGCGUAGGCGGCUGAUUAAGGCAGCGGUGAAAGACUUCGGCUUAACCGGAGCAGUGCCGUUGAUACUGGUUGGCUUGAGUGUCGGAGGGGUACAUGGAAUUGAUGGUGUAGCGGUGAAAUGCAUAGAUACCAUCAGGAACACCGAUAGCGAAGGCAUUGUACUGGCCGACAACUGACGCUGAUGCACGAAAGUGUGGGGAUCGAACAGGAUUAGAAACCCGAGUAGUCC